This 29-nucleotide small RNA is filed under the name Bombyx mori (domestic silkworm). RNAcentral's name for it is "ovarian small RNA-38036". Lineage: Eukaryota; Metazoa; Arthropoda; Insecta; Lepidoptera; Bombycidae. The record is from RNAcentral.
UUGGGUUCGACUGGGUCCUGCGGGGCGUC